UGGAGAACUUGAGUGCAGAAUAGGAGAGUGGAAUUCCACGUGUAGCGGUGACAUGCGUAGAGAUGUGGAGGAACAGCAGUGGCGAAGCGACUCUCUGGUCUGUUACUGACGCUUAGGUGCGAAAGCGUAGGGAGCAAACAGGAUUAGAUACCCUGGUAGUCCACGCCGUAAACGAUGAGUGCUAGGUGUUAGGGGGUUUCCGCACCUUAGUGCUGCAGUUAACGCAUUAAGCACUCCGCCUGGGGAGUACGGCCGCAAGGCUGAAACUCAAAAGAAUUGACGGGGACCCGCACAAGCGGUGGAGCAUGUGGUUUAUUUCGAAGCAACGCGAAGAACCUUACCAGGUCUUGACAUCCUUAUGCCCGCUCUAGAGAUAAAGUUUUCCCUUCGGGGACAUAAGUGACAGGUGGUGCAUGGUUGUCGUCAGCUCGUGUCGUGAGAUUUUGGGUUAAGUCCCGCAACGAGCGCAACCCUUGAUCUUAGUUGCCAGCAUUCAGUUGGGCACUCUAAGGUGACUGCCGGUGACAAACCGGAGGAAGGUGGGGAUGACGUCAAAUCAUCAUGCCCCUUAUGACCUGGGCUACACACGUGCUACAGUGGAUGGUACAAAGGGCAGCAAAGCCGCAAGGCCAAGCGAAUCCCAUAAAACCAUUCUCAGUUCGGAUCCUAGGCUGCAACUCGCCUACAUGAAGCCGGAAUCGUUAGUAAUCGCGGGUCAGCAUGCCGCGGUGAAUACGUUCCCGGGUCUUGUACACACCGCCCGUCACACCACGAGAGUUAGCAACACCCGAAGUCGGUGAGGUAACCAUUUGGAGCCAGCCGCCGAUGGUGGGGCCAAUGAUUGGGGUGAAGUCGUUUCAAGGUAACCAU
This 870-nucleotide ribosomal RNA is filed under the name Amphibacillus sp. NPST-10. Its description in RNAcentral is "bacterial SSU rRNA". It matches the Rfam family "Bacterial small subunit ribosomal RNA", at positions 634 to 1503 of the family's 1533-position model. The record is from RNAcentral. Lineage: Bacteria; Bacillati; Bacillota; Bacilli; Caryophanales; Bacillaceae.